RNAcentral lists this ribosomal RNA (253 nucleotides) under uncultured bacterium. RNAcentral's name for it is "partial 16S ribosomal RNA". It matches the Rfam family "Bacterial small subunit ribosomal RNA", at positions 524 to 776 of the family's 1533-position model. The record is from RNAcentral.
UACGGAGGGUGCAAGCGUUAUCCGGAUUCACUGGGUUUAAAGGGUGCGUAGGUGGGCUAGUAAGUCCGUGGUGAAAUCUCCAAGCUUAACUUGGAAACUGCCGUGGAUACUAUUAGUCUUGAAUAUUGUGGAGGUAAGCGGAAUAUGUCAUGUGGCGGUGAAAUGCUUAGAUAUGACAUAGAACACCGAUAGCGAAGGCAGCUUGCUACACAAUCAUUGACACUGAGGCACGAAAGCGUGGGGAUCAAACAGG